This 301-nucleotide ribosomal RNA is filed under the name uncultured bacterium. Its description in RNAcentral is "partial 16S ribosomal RNA". It matches the Rfam family "Bacterial small subunit ribosomal RNA", at positions 509 to 807 of the family's 1533-position model. The record is from RNAcentral.
CAGCCGCCGCGGGAAUACGGAGGGGGCUAGCGUUGUUCGGAAUUACUGGGCGUAAAGCGCACGUAGGCGGCUUUGUAAGUUAGAGGUGAAAGCCUGGAGCUCAACUCCAGAAUUGCCCUUAAGACUGCCGAGCUAGUAGGUGAGAGAGGUAAGUGGAAUUCCGAGUGAAGAGGUGAAAUUCGUAGAUAUUGGGAAGAACACCAGUGGCGAAGGCGGCUCACUGGACAAUAACUGACGCUGAUGCACGAAAGCUAGGGGAGCAAACAGGAUUAGAUACCCCAGUAGUCCCUGUCUCUUAUAC